AUCUGAGGGUGAGAGGGGGCAGGAAAUUAAUUUCCGCACUGGUUCAUCUAGCAGAUGCUCAUGCACUGAACCGUGACUGUGACUUCCUUGUGUGUGGACCCAGAGUGGCCCCAGUGUCUGGUAAGGGAGCACACGAUGACCCCAACACCAGUCAGCCAGAAAACUGAAGGACCAGGCUUCUAAACCAACCUCAAGAGUUGGAACAAAUUAACAGAAACUGUCCCCCCAAUUCCCUGGACUUCAGCAGGAACGGUCAGCAGAUGCUUAAAUGGAAUCAGCAUCUCAAAGGCCACCCUGGCUGGUCCAUAGCAGGCUGGUCCACAGCAGGCCGGGCCCCAGGGAGCAGGAGCUGGUGAGGUCAGGCAGAGCCCCCCACUGGCUCUCAGCACUUCUGCAAAGCAGCGGCUGUGAACACGUGUAGCGUGCUUUAGCAGAUGCAACAAGCCUGGGGGUUUAGAGAAUCUUUUGGAUCAGAAAAGUGAACUACAGUACUCUGUCCAAAAGCUUUCAUUUGGGAAGUUGUAAAAAAGUUGAAUUUUCUUUCUCAACUUGCAAAUAUGGACCUUUGCAACCAACUUAACGUUUGAGAUAAGCUUUUCUGAGUAAUGCCUUUGGAGGACCCGCUCAGCUGACGAACGGCCAGGGAGAAGCAUCUUCCCACAGGUAGUGCUAACUGCCCGUACUCAGAAGCACCGAGAUGCCCCACGGCUUGGUGACUGGCAGUUUCUACACGUGACUGCAGAUACGGAAAUUACCGCCGCCGAACAUGUGCACGAACUGUGCGUGGAGAUCGGUGAGGGGAUGAUCGCCCUCUCGCCCAACCUCCCUUCUCCAGACCCUAGAUUUGUCCCCUCUCCUACCACGCCCAGUUUAAGCUUCACCACCACUCACCUAGGCUGCAGCAGCCCCCAACUGGCACCGCCUCUUCCCACCCACCUUGACGCUGCUGCCGGAGUGGCUGUUCCCCAAAAUGCAGCUGGGAUCCCACUGCACCCCUGCUUAAAGUCAUCCAGGUGCUCCCCGAGCUUCCAGGGAGAGCACCCAAGGCUGCUCGAGGUCUGGCCCCAUCCGCCUCAUCAGCCUCUGCUCUUGGGGCUCUCUCUCUCUGACUUCCCAGCCCCCCUGCCACCUGUAGCUCCCUGGACUCGCCCUGCUCUCAUGACUCAGGCCUCAGUGUCACAGUUGCCGCUAUCCAGAAUGUCCUCACCUCACCGUUACACCAUCAAGUUAACACCCACGUCCUAACCUUCUCCACCCCAGCAACUCCUCUGGGACACCUGCCUGCACUCCAGCUGAGUGGGGGGGGGGCACUGCGCCGAGGCCCACCUUCCCAGCUCUGCCCAGCACCCUGCUUCCCACGCUGUAACGAGCUGCCCACUGUUUGCCCCAUUGGACCGGGAGCCCCCUUGGAGUGGGGGGCCACCUCUGUAAUCUGCACAGCCCCCCAGGUGGACAUCGCAGCAGACGUUCGGCAGACAGUGGCUAAACAGCGAAAUGAACCAGAUCUCCUGCACGGGGCUCUUUUCAGCUGGCUCCAGUGUUCCCGCCUGUCUCAACCCAGCACAAGAUGCGAGUUUAAAGCCACGAAACGUGAUUUCAUCCACUUAGUUUCCAGUUGGAAAGACAUCACCUGGCAGGCAAUCACACCAUCCAGCAACACCCUCCCGAAAACCUGCUCUCAAGCCACAUUUUCCCAGGUCCUUAUGGCUGACCACUAAGCGGCCACCUGCCUCCAUCCAAUCGCGGUCACCCUCAGUUACCUCCGCUGGUAGGACCUUGUGGAGCUCCAUUCUGCCUGUUUGGAGCUGCAGACGUUUGACAUCCUGAAGUAGCGGCUGUUCUCAUCCCACUGCCUCCGAAGACGGGCCUCCUGCUCCCGGUGUCGCUGUUGCGCUGCCUGCUGAUCCAGGAGCCUCCGGCUACACCAGUAGGAGGGCAGCGUGGGGAGUGCCAUCUAAGAGCAGCAGUGUAGGAAAAUGAGCUCGCUGCCAAUCCGGAACCCUCUCACGCUUGGCCUCCCCCUGCAGCAGUGCACUGGGAGUUGCGACAGGGGAGCCUGGCCCAGACCAACUACAUCCGAAAGUCCUAAUGCAGGCUGCAGGUGUCAGCAUUGUUUAAAUGAUUUGCCCUGGGGGCUGCAAAUCACAGAUUUAAGCCAGCGUGAACUGCACCCGCUGUGGUAGAGGCAUCACUGAGGGCACUGACACUCGUGGUACUGAUGGAGAGACUGGGACCACAGGGAGGGUCACGGAGCAGUCUGGGGACCCAAAUGGAGACUUGAAAGCAGAGAGCAGUCUCACUGGGGUAACUUUUCCCCUUGACCCAAAAGCUGUCCCCAAGUGCAGGUCUAAAGCGUUCGGCUAUGACGGUGCUUAAGGAACGUCUGCUGAAUAAGCAAAAGGCCUGGGUCUCCGGCAAGUCUCAAAUUCAGAGUCCUCCAAACCUGGGGGGGAAUAAUCUGCAUCUAUGGGCCAAGUCUAGCCCGCGGCUGCCUGUUUAUAAACUCCGUUUUGAGACUUGGCAGGUUUGACCUUCUCUCUUCCUUGCUCUGUGUGCUGCCUGUGGAUAAAUCUUCCCACCAGGCAUCAAGAAACUUAGGCUUCCGGUUCUGGAUCGGCCACCAACAAGCUGGGCGGCUCCCGGAACCAGUCGCAUCCCUCUCGACCUCAAUAUACACAUAGGACAAAAGGGUCACAGAAGGAUGUAUCGGCCCAAGAGCGCGGUGGGAGCAGAGGAGCGCGGGAUGCCGGUCGCACAGGUGCCCUGCGCUCGCGUCCCGGACGCCCGCCGGGAUGCCAGCCGCGGUGCCGGCCGGCGCGAGGCCACUGCGGCGGCAUCUGCGGGGCCCCGACCCCCAGGCCGGCUCCUGGCCGAGCCCACCCUACGACUCACGUUGCUCUGCGCCCGGAGUUUCCGAAGAGUCCCCCGGCCCAGCUCCCGCAAGCCCCAACUAUACCCGCUAAUCCCAAAGACGGCCGUUACCCAGCUUGUUGCCCCGCGACAGACCGGCGACGGGGCGCCGUGCUGGCCAAGCGCGGAGAGAAGAGGCUGUGUUUUUUCCUCUGGCGCCGCCUCGUGGUGGGCGGGAGAUCACCCGGGAACGUCGCCAGUCCUGGAAGGAUGGAGAGAGUGAAUCUACUGGAUACAUAAAAUUCAGGAUGGCGGUUGCCUGGGGAGAUAAGGGGUUGCCCUGAUGAGAGAAAUGAAGGUUUACAUGGAGAGCAUGCAGCCACAGAGCACCUGGUACAUCUCAGGUAAGCGUGCUUU
Long non-coding RNA from Artibeus jamaicensis (Jamaican fruit-eating bat), 3267 nucleotides. RefSeq lists it as uncharacterized. Lineage: Eukaryota; Metazoa; Chordata; Mammalia; Chiroptera; Phyllostomidae. The transcript has 3 exons. The record is from RefSeq and is a predicted model, not a curated record.